UCUGACCAGCCAUGCCGCGUGCAGGAAGACGGCCCUUACGGGUUGUAAACUGCUUUUGUACCGGAAUAAACCCCCGAACGUGUUCGGGGCUGAAUGUACGGUAAGAAUAAGGAUCGGCUAACUCCGUGCCAGCAGCCGCGGUAAUACGGAGGAUCCAAGCGUUAUCCGGAUUUAUUGGGUUUAAAGGGUGCGUAGGCGGCCUAUUAAGUCAGGGGUGAAAGACGGUAGCUCAACUAUCGCAGUGCCUUUGAUACUGAUGGGCUUGAAUGCAGCUGAGGUAGGCGGAAUGUGACAAGUAGCGGUGAAAUGCAUAGAUAUGUCACAGAACACCGAUUGCGAAGGCAGCUUACUAAAGUGCGAUUGACGCUGAGGCACGAAAGCGUGGGGAUCAAACAGGAUUAGAUACCCUGGUAGUCCACGCCCUAAACGAUGAACACUCGAUGUUGGCGAUAUACGGUCAGCGUCUAAGCGAAAGCGUUAAGUGUUCCACCUGGGGAGUACGCCCGCAAGGGUGAAACUCAAAGGAAUUGACGGGGGCCCGCACAAGCGGAGGAGCAUGUGGUUUAAUUCGAUGAUACGCGAGGAACCUUACCCGGGCUUGAAAGUUAGUGAAUAGAGCAGAGACGCUCU
This 630-nucleotide ribosomal RNA is filed under the name Mucilaginibacter sp. Ri2Pw_5988. RNAcentral's name for it is "bacterial SSU rRNA". It matches the Rfam family "Bacterial small subunit ribosomal RNA", at positions 382 to 1012 of the family's 1533-position model. The record is from RNAcentral. Lineage: Bacteria; Pseudomonadati; Bacteroidota; Sphingobacteriia; Sphingobacteriales; Sphingobacteriaceae.